UUUUAUAAGAUAUAAUUUAUUUUGUUAUAAAAUUUUUAUUUUAUUAAAAAAUUAUAUGAAAUUUAUUGAUUGUUAAUUUAUUCUUAAUGAAAUUUAAUAUUUCUCAGUAAUUAAUAUUAAAUAAUUAAAGAAAUUUAGAUUUAAUUAUUAAUUUAAGUAUAAACAAAUAAUGUGCCAGCAGUUGCGGUUAAACAUUAUAUACAAAUAAAAUUUUUUAGUUAAUAGUAAUAAUUAUAUAUUUUAAUUAAUUUUUUAAUUUAAGGUAAAAUUUAAUUUAUAAUUUUAUUAAAAUUAUUAGUUUCUAUUAAAUUUUACUUAAAACUAGGAUUAGAUACCCUAUUAUAAAAAUUUAAAUAUAAUUACUAGAAAAUUAAUAGUUAAAUUCUUUAAAUUUAAAAAAUUUGGCGGUAUUUUAUUCUUAUUAGAGGAAUCUGUUCUUUAAUUGAUAAUCCACGAUUUAUUUUACUUAUUUUUUUUAAUUCAUAUAUCGCUGUCAUGAAUAUAUUAAAAAAUUUAUUUUCUUUAAUUAAUAUUAUAAUUUAUGUUAAGUCAAGAUGUGGUUUAUAAAUAAGAGAGUAAUGGAUCACAUUAAACUUAAUUUUUGGAUUUUAAAUGUAAAAUAAAAUUAAAUUGGAUUUAAUAGUAAAUUUAUUUAUUUAAAUAAAAUGAAUAUAGAUCUAAAAUAUGUACAUAUUCCCCGUCAUUCUUAUUAAAAAUAAGACAAGUCGUAACAAAGUAAAUGUACUGGAAAGUGUAUUUAGAAUGA
Molecule: non-coding RNA, 766 nt
Filed under: Daktulosphaira vitifoliae (grape phylloxera)
Lineage: Eukaryota; Metazoa; Arthropoda; Insecta; Hemiptera; Phylloxeridae
Source: RNAcentral